CCUACGGGAGGCUGCAGUGAGGAAUAUUGGUCAAUGGGCGCGAGCCUGAACCAGCCAAGUCGCGUGAAGGAUGACGGCCCUACGGGUUGUAACCUUCUUUUAUAAAGGAAUAAAGUGAGGCACGCGUGCCUUUUUGUACGUACUUUAUGAAUAGGGAUCGGCGAACUCCGUGCCAGCAGCCGCGGUAAUACGGAGGAUCCGAGCGUUAUCCGGAUUUACUGGGUUUAAAGGGAGCGUAGAUGGGUUGUUAAGUCAGUUGUGAAAGUUUGCGGCUCAACCGUGGAAUUGCAAUUGAUACUGGCAGUCUUGAGUACAGUUGAGGUAGGCGGAAUUCGUGGUGUAGCGGUGAAAUGCGUAGAUAUCACGAAGAACUCCGAUUGCGAAGGCAGCUUACUAAACUGCAACUGACAUUGAUGCUCGAAAGUGUGGGUAGCAAACAGGAUUAGAUACCCCUGUAGUC
RNAcentral lists this ribosomal RNA (460 nucleotides) under uncultured bacterium. Its description in RNAcentral is "partial 16S ribosomal RNA". It matches the Rfam family "Bacterial small subunit ribosomal RNA", at positions 338 to 795 of the family's 1533-position model. The record is from RNAcentral.